AUGUUUCUUUCCCAUUUCCAACAUGGCUUUGUUCUCUCGUGUGUUGAUGCAGACAGAACCCCUAGGCUGGAUCCAGUGCUGCGCAUUCCCAAAUCUACCCUUUCAACUGUCACCUCACUGCACCAAAUCUCAGAGAAACACCAAGAACCACCCAGUCUAAUCAGUGAUUCAUGGCGCUUGAAACACACGCUGGGAACAGUAUUUGGCAUCGUGACCAUCAUCCUCAUUAUCACGAUCACACUCGGAGUGGCCUACCACAAAAAGAAAGCAAAAGACCCAGAAUACGGCACAUCUUCUUUUUCCUCGGAUAAAUGUGGAAGAAGCCUCAGCAGUGCACCUGACAUCAUCCCACCACAACAGGAGCCCAACAGCAUCAUCUACACUACUGUGCAUUUUAAGCCCCAUGAAGAAACAUCUCAGCUGUAUGCCAACUUGUGCCUCCACAAUUCAGAAUGUGCACUGAAGUCACAGGAGAGUGUGGAGUACUCUACCAUAGCCAGAAUGGGUGGUAAGAAUUAGAGCUGUCCACUGUCAUGAACAAUAUGUGACAAUAUUGCUUUUAAUAUCUAAUAUUUGAUUUUUAAAUGUUUAAGAAAUGCUUACAUGAUUUGUUUUGGUGCAAGGGCUCAGUUACUUUUGAGACAAGAAAAAUGGUUUGGGGGUUGUUAUGUAUGAAAACAGCCUACAGCGUUCACCCUCAAACUACAGCUGAGAAUCUGCACUUUGAGCAUAUAUUGAUUAUCUAAUUCCAGCUCCAAUGUUCUGUGGUAGACAGUUAAAAUGACUACUGUGUCAACACCCAAAUAUUUAUGGACAUGACUAUACUUAGUUGUCAGUGGUGGACAGUAACUAAGUAAAUGUAAUUAGUUACUGUACUUAAGUAAAGUACAGAUACACAAAAAAAACUACUUAAGUUUCUCCGUUCUCGGCUUUUUCCUUUCAGUCCACUACAUUUCAGAGUCUAAUAUCCGACUUUUUCCUCCUUUUUUUGAGAAAUCUGUCGUUCCUUUUGGUUUCUGUGUGUAUAAAAACGUAACAUGUCAAAAUGGACUUUCACCUGAAAUGAGUUCAUGAAGCCAGUCUGGUUAUAAAAAUGAUAACAGGACAUCAGAGCCAGAAUUCCUCUUUUAGUACUUUUACUUUAUACUUAAGUACAUUUGAAGGUAAAUACUUUAGUACUUUUACUCAAGUGGAGGUCUAAAGGGAGGAACUUCUACUUUUACUGGAGGAAUAUUUUACCCUGGGUAGAUCUACUCAAGUACACGAUUUGUGUACUCCGUCCAGCUCUGUUAGUUGUUGAGCCUUCUGUGGAGCCAUCUGUUAAAUAUAUGUUUUCUACUGACACUGAACAAUGAAUAACGUGUACUUAAUGUUGGCUCUGACUGGAAAUAAAUUGUAUAACUGUUGCACAGUGUUGUAUAUUGUGGAAAUAUUUAUGUUUAUUAUUCAAACCUGACAUGGCCUUUAAAGUGACCUCAUUACAAUGCUGUAGAUGAUUUUUUUCACUGUUCACUGUUGUCAUGGUGAUGGAAAUGACCUCUAUGGGUUAUUUAAUUCUAUAUUUAUAUAGAAAAACGUGAGAAGUAGUGAAAUCUGUUCAUUUACAAUGUGAAUAAAAUUCUAAUGAUCUAAGACAACUGAUGGAGUCUCUCUAGUGUGUGUGUGUGUGUGUGUGUGUGUGUGUGUGUGUGUGUGUGUGCGCGCAUGCC
Molecule: long non-coding RNA, 1709 nt
Organism: Pygocentrus nattereri (red-bellied piranha)
Lineage: Eukaryota; Metazoa; Chordata; Actinopteri; Characiformes; Serrasalmidae
Source: Ensembl